UUUUUUUUUAAGAUUGCAUUUUUUUUAAGUAAUCACUAUACCCAAUGUGGUGUUUGAAUUCACAGCCCCAAGAUCAAAAGUCACAUGCUCACCAACCCAGCCAUCAGGGUGCCCCAAAUACAAUUUUCUUAAUAGAAAAUAUUAGAGUCAGAGCCUAAACAUAUGAAAGUCAACAUAUAUGAAAGCAAACACAUAUAUACAUCUAAAAUAUCACAUUUUAUAAGUAUUGGGCAAAAACGUUUGAGAAACACUGAACCUGCAUCUAGCCCCAGUUAUGCUUUUACUUGCUGCAGGAGCUUUAAAAAGUUAAUCUAACUGAUCUAUUCAUUUAUAAAAUAGGGAGACAAAUAAUUUUCUUCUCUACUUCCUAAGAGGCUUUUAAAAAAUCUAUUGGGAUAAUAUAUAUGGGGGGAAAAAACUCUGGAAACUAGAAACUUUCUGUGCAAGUAUUUGUAAACUUAGAUUUGAGAGCCAUAAGAAAAAGUGGCAGAUGGUAGAGAGACAAGAGUAUGAAUAUUUGUGAACUUCAGUUUUUUGUUAUCUUCCUGCCUUUCUUUUUUUUAAGAUUUUAAAUUUAUUUGACAGAGAGAUAGAACCAGAGAGCACAAGUGAGGGGAAUGGCAGAGGGAGAAGGAGGUUCUCUGCUGACCAGGGAGACCUCAGCUGGACUGAAUCCCCGGACCCUGGGAUCAUGACCCAUGCUGAAGGCAGAUGCUUAACCGACUGAGCCACCCCGGCACUCCUCAUAACUGCCUCUUAAAUAUAAAGAGUGACCAUCAGUCACCCACAUGACAGAAGUCUCUUUCCAGAUACCAUAGUGUCUCACAAAAAGCCCCAAUUCAAUUACUAUCAAGAACUAAAUCGAAAAAUACAUGUAACACACAAUUAUUAAGCUCUUCCUGCACACAAACCCAGAAUUGGGUCUUUUUUUUUUUUUUCAGUAACCAAUCUCUAGGAUUUUUUUAAUUCACUAUUUGUAUAUUGAAUACUUAUAUAAAGAGUCUACUAAACCAAAAAUUGCAGAGGUAAUCUUUAUGCAAGGUGACCUUCUUUCUAUUUUAUUAUUCAUUCUGGAAGCAGUGAUUAACCUGGAUAAGGAUAUAGUUACUUUAGUGUAAUAUUUUUUUCCCCAAAUUCCAACAGGUUGAGCGAAAAGGGUUAUCCAAAUAUACUGCUCUUCUUUGUGGAAACAAUCCCUUACGAUGUAAUACGAUUUUUCCUGGGCCUGGAUUUUCUCUGCCAUCCAGGAAUCGAGUUUGGUUCACACUAAAAUGUGAGAGCAACAUUUCAGGAUGGAGUUGGGGGGGAGGGGGCUUGCAGAACAACUGACCCUCACCCGAUGUUCCUUUUAAGACAUGAAACUGCAUUUCCAUCCCUUCACUAGUGGUGAGCAUCAAGUUCCAAAGAAGCAUCUGGAUUGCGGACAAUGUCAGCUAUCUUUGUAACUUGCAGAGGAAUGACCAACAUUUAGGAAAACAAGCGGCAGCUAAGCCAGGAAGGUCGGCUCGCAGGACCCGGAGGUCGUGGGUCACCGAUGAGCGGCCCGGGAAGCCUUGCCCUCCCCUGGAUUUUGUCCCUCCCAGAUUUCUGAGCUGGCGAGCAGCCGCU
This 1608-nucleotide long non-coding RNA is filed under the name Canis lupus familiaris (dog). Its description in RNAcentral is "lncRNA (ENSCAFG00845015480.1)". Lineage: Eukaryota; Metazoa; Chordata; Mammalia; Carnivora; Canidae. The record is from RNAcentral.